RNAcentral lists this ribosomal RNA (232 nucleotides) under uncultured prokaryote. RNAcentral's name for it is "partial 16S ribosomal RNA". It matches the Rfam family "Bacterial small subunit ribosomal RNA", at positions 524 to 755 of the family's 1533-position model. The record is from RNAcentral.
UACAGAGGGUGCGAGCGUUGUCCGGAAUCACUGGGCGUAAAGGGCGCGUAGGCGGCUUUUCAAGCGUGUGGUGAAAGCUCGGGGCUCAACCCCGAGUCGGCCAUGCGAACUGGGAGGCUUGAGCACGGUAGAGGCACAUGGAAUUCCGGGUGUAGCGGUGGAAUGCGUAGAGAUCCGGAGGAACACCGGUGGCGAAGGCGGUGUGCUGGGCCGUAGCUGACGCUGAUGCGCG